CCUACGGGGGGCAGCAGUGAGGAAUAUUGGUCAAUGGCCGGAAGGCUGAACCAGCCAUGCCGCGUGAAGGUCAGUGCCCUAUGGGCGUUAAACUUCUUUUGUGCGGGAGCAAUAAUGGUCACGUGUGGCCAGACGAGAGUACCGUACGAAUAAGCAUCGGCUAACUCCGGGCCAGCAGCCGCGGUAAUACGGGGGAUGCAAGCGUUAUCCGGAUUUAUUGGGUUUAAAGGGUGCGUAGGCUGUGAGGUAAGUCAGCGGUGAAAUGCCCCCGCUCAACGGGGUGAAGUGCCAUUGAUACUGCCUGGCUGGAAUGCGGAUGCCGUGGGAGGAAUGUGUGGUGUAGCGGUGAAAUGCAUAGAUAUCACACAGAACACCGAUUGCGAAGGCAUCUCACGAAUCCGCGAUUGACGCUGAUGCACGAAAGCGUGGGUAUCAAACAGGAUUAGAUACCCUAGUAGUC
This 460-nucleotide ribosomal RNA is filed under the name uncultured bacterium. RNAcentral's name for it is "partial 16S ribosomal RNA". It matches the Rfam family "Bacterial small subunit ribosomal RNA", at positions 338 to 795 of the family's 1533-position model. The record is from RNAcentral.